This 374-nucleotide long non-coding RNA is filed under the name Chinchilla lanigera (long-tailed chinchilla). RNAcentral describes it as "lncRNA (ENSCLAG00000024605.1)". The record is from RNAcentral. Lineage: Eukaryota; Metazoa; Chordata; Mammalia; Rodentia; Chinchillidae.
CUUUUAAGUUUAUUUUCCCAGGUGUUUUGUCACAGAGAUGGAAAGCUCACAGCACUUCAGCUUUGUGACUGUGACACCUGGCAGACCAUGUUACUUCCCUGACCUUCGGUGUCCCUAGCUGUGAAAUGGCAUCACUGACCUGCUUAGGAUGAAAUCAAAUGAGAAAAUGGACAUGAACAUUCUUUGCUCUUGUUAAAGCUCUGAGUGAUUCCACAUGGAAUGCUGCAGGCUCUGAAUCAUUUUGAUGGAUACAACUUGACAUCGACCAAUUUGCCUAAUUCAUCACCUUUGCAUGCUUUAAUACUAAAGACAAGGUAGGAAGGUUUUCCAACUGGCUUUGUGAUUUCUUUUCUCCUCUCCUCUAGCAUCAAUGG